RNAcentral lists this ribosomal RNA (744 nucleotides) under uncultured bacterium. RNAcentral's name for it is "bacterial SSU rRNA". It matches the Rfam family "Bacterial small subunit ribosomal RNA", at positions 8 to 796 of the family's 1533-position model. The record is from RNAcentral.
AGAGUUUGAUCCUGGCUCAGAGCGAACGCUGGCGGCAGGCUUAACACAUGCAAGUCGAGCGGGCGUAGCAAUACGUCAGCGGCAGACGGGUGAGUAACGCGUGGGAACGUACCUUUUGGUUCGGAACAACACAGGGAAACUUGUGCUAAUACCGGAUAAGCCCUUACGGGGAAAGAUUUAUCGCCGAAAGAUCGGCCCGCGUCUGAUUAGCUAGUUGGUGAGGUAAUGGCUCACCAAGGCGACGAUCAGUAGCUGGUCUGAGAGGAUGAUCAGCCACAUUGGGACUGAGACACGGCCCAAACUCCUACGGGAGGCAGCAGUGGGGAAUAUUGGACAAUGGGCGCAAGCCUGAUCCAGCCAUGCCGCGUGAGUGAUGAAGGCCCUAGGGUUGUAAAGCUCUUUUGUGCGGGAAGAUAGUGACGGUACCGCAAGAAUAAGCCCCGGCUAACUUCGUGCCAGCAGCCGCGGUAAUACGAAGGGGGCUAGCGUUGCUCGGAAUCACUGGGCGUAAAGGGUGCGUAGGCGGGUCUUUAAGUCAGGGGUGAAAUCCUGGAGCUCAACUCCAGAACUGCCUUUGAUACUGAGGAUCUUGAGUUCGGGAGAGGUGAGUGGAACUGCGAGUGUAGAGGUGAAAUUCGUAGAUAUUCGCAAGAACACCAGUGGCGAAGGCGGCUCACUGGCCCGAUACUGACGCUGAGGCACGAAAGCGUGGGGAGCAAACAGGAUUAGAUACCCUAGUAGUCC